UUUCCGUAGGUGAACCUGCGGAGGAUCAUUAAUAAAGUUCCUGAAUUUAAAGGAAUAAAAAUAUCCUACCCUACGUGAAUUUGUUGUUUUGAAUAAUUUUUUUAAAAAAUUAUUGAUUGUCUUUCCCUGUUGAAUUAGAGUGUCUUCGAUAUGAAAUUCACAGGGGAUGUCAGUAAUUUUUUAAAAGACCUUUUUUUAAUUAAACUUUUGUAUUCAUCUGUCUAAAUUAUUUUAUAAUAUAAAACAACUUUGACAAUGGAUCUCUUGGUCUCGCAACGAUGAGAACGCAGCAAAUGCGAUAAGUAGUGUGAAUUGCAGAAUACGUGAAUCAUCGAAUCUUCGAACGCAUAUUGCACUUUUUGGUUUACUAAAAAGUAUGUCUGUUGAGUAUCAGUAAAUAUUCUCAUAAAACAUUGUUUUAUGGUUAUGAGUGUUUACAACGAUACAAGUUGUUUCACUUUAAUUCUUGACUUGUAAAAAUCAUUAAAACUGAUUUUUUUUAAAAUUGGAUAAAAUUUCCCGUAAAAGGAAUAACCUAAACAAUUUUAAUAAUAAUUGUUGAUUUUUUAAAGAUUUAAAGGAAAAAGUAAAAUUAACUUGAUCUCAAUCAGAUAAGAGUACCCGCUGAACUUAAGCAUAUCAAUAGCGGAGGAAAGAAACUAACAGGAUUCCCUUAGUAACGGCGAGUGAAGCGGGAAGAGCUCAAACUUGAAUCUUCAAGGUUUACCUUGACGAAUUGUAGUUUAAGAAGUGUUUUCUGUUGGAGUUUGGUAAAAGUUCUUUGGAAUAGACAUCAUAGAGGUGAGAAUCCCGUAUUUGACCAUUAUUCCAGCUGUGUGAUACACUUCAAAGAGUCGGAUUGUUUGGAAUGCAGUCAAAAUGGGUGGUAAAUUCAUCUAAAGCUAAAUAUGGCGAGAGACCGAUAGCGAACAAGUACGUGAGGAAGAUGAAAGACUUGAAAGAGAGUUAAACAGUACGUGAAAUUGUCAAAAGGAAGCGUUGACACCAGUGUUGUUUCUCGAAAAUCAAUUAAAAUGAUGGGAUUUGUGUUGUAUUGACUUAUCAGCUUUCUGCACUUUUUCUUAUCUUUUUUAAUGCACUUUUCGUUUAACAAGUCACAUCAAUUUCUUUGUUGUAAAGAGUCAUUGGAAGUGGCUUUUCUUCGGAAAAAGUGUUUAUAGCUUUGGCUUCUGCAAUCGGAGAUUGAGGUCUGCAGCGUAGAUCCUUCGGGUUAGAUACAUUUGUGCUAAGCUAUAGUCUUUAUAGACAACUUGUUGACUAUAAUCAAUCCUGUAACUUACUCGCUAUGCUAUUUACCUACGCUUAG
Molecule: unclassified non-coding RNA, 1327 nt
Filed under: uncultured Neocallimastigales
Lineage: Eukaryota; Fungi; Neocallimastigomycota; Neocallimastigomycetes; Neocallimastigales
Description: partial contains small subunit ribosomal RNA, internal transcribed spacer 1, 5.8S ribosomal RNA, internal transcribed spacer 2, and large subunit ribosomal RNA
Rfam family: Eukaryotic large subunit ribosomal RNA (bases 599-1327)
Source: RNAcentral